UGGGGGAUGGUGUAAUGGUAGCACAAAAGCCUCUGGAGCUUUUUGUCUAGGUUCGAAUCCUAGUCCCCCAG
Molecule: transfer RNA, 71 nt
Filed under: Candidatus Omnitrophota bacterium
Lineage: Bacteria; Pseudomonadati; Candidatus Omnitrophota
Description: Candidatus Omnitrophica bacterium tRNA-Gln
Rfam family: tRNA
About the family: Transfer RNA (tRNA) molecules are approximately 80 nucleotides in length. Their secondary structure includes four short double-helical elements and three loops (D, anti-codon, and T loops).
Source: RNAcentral